AUUUGAAGAGGUUGCAGUGCUCAUCAGUAACCAUGUGGAGACAGGCAAAUGUCUUAAGCUUGGCGAAAGGGUGCAUUGCCGAAAUGCAGGGGUGUUUGCCCACCACUGACAUUGGGACGUAUUCCGAAAGGAUGCGGACUGUCGCGUGUAUACGCGGGGAGCUUCAA
This 167-nucleotide non-coding RNA is filed under the name uncultured Limosilactobacillus sp. Its description in RNAcentral is "Lysine riboswitch". It matches the Rfam family "Lysine riboswitch aptamer". From Rfam's summary of the family: Riboswitches are metabolite binding domains within certain messenger RNAs that serve as precision sensors for their corresponding targets. Allosteric rearrangement of mRNA structure is mediated by ligand binding, and this results in modulation of gene expression. Lineage: Bacteria; Bacillati; Bacillota; Bacilli; Lactobacillales; Lactobacillaceae. The record is from RNAcentral.